UAUGUGAUCGUCUCUCGCAUAUCAAUAAGCGGAGGAAAAGAAACUAACAAGGAUUCCCCUAGUAACGGCGAGUGAAGCGGGAAGAGCUCAAAUUUGAAAUCUUAAAGGGUUUCCCUUUACGAAUUGUAGUUUAAAGAAGUGUUUUUCUGUAGAGGUUUUGGUAAAAGUUCUUUGGAAUAGGACAUCAUAGAGGGUGAGAAUCCCGUAUUUGACCUUUACUUUCAACUUUGUGAUACACUUUCAAAGAGUCGGAUUGUUUGGGAAUGCAGUCCAAAAUGGGUGGUAAAUUUCAUCUAAAGCUAAAUAUUGGCGAGAGACCGAUAGCGAACAAGUACCGUGAGGGAAAGAUGAAAAGAACUUUGAAAAGAGAGUUAAACAGUACGUGAAAUUGUCAAAAGGGAAGCGUUUGACACCAGUGUUGUUUUUCUGAAAAUCAAUUAAAGAACUGUUUAUGCUAAGCUUGUUUAGACUUUAUCAGCUAAUCUGUUUAGUUUUGAGCUUUUCUUUAAUGCACUUUUCAGUUAACAAGUCAACAUCAAUUUCUUUUGCUGUAAAAAAGCUUGAGGAAGGUGGCUUGAGAUUCGUCUUAAGUGUUUAUAGCCUCUUGCCUAUGCAGUCGGAGAGAUUGAGGUCUGCAGCGUAGAUCCUUCGGGGCUAAAUGCAUUUGUGCUAAGUUAUAGCAUUUUAUAGACAACUUGUUGACUAUGAUUUGUCUUGUAGCUUACUCGCUUAUGUUAUUUUACCUACGCUUAGGAUGUUGAGUAGCGACAUACGCAC
Molecule: ribosomal RNA, 777 nt
Filed under: uncultured Neocallimastigales
Lineage: Eukaryota; Fungi; Neocallimastigomycota; Neocallimastigomycetes; Neocallimastigales
Description: partial large subunit ribosomal RNA
Rfam family: Eukaryotic large subunit ribosomal RNA
Source: RNAcentral